Molecule: ribosomal RNA, 461 nt
Filed under: uncultured Nocardioides sp.
Lineage: Bacteria; Bacillati; Actinomycetota; Actinomycetes; Propionibacteriales; Nocardioidaceae
Description: bacterial SSU rRNA
Rfam family: Bacterial small subunit ribosomal RNA
Source: RNAcentral
GACGAACGCUGGCGGCGUGCUUAACACAUGCAAGUCGAGCGGAAAGGCCACUUCGGUGGUACUCGAGCGGCGAACGGGUGAGUAACACGUGAGUAAUCUGCCCCCCACUUUGGGAUAGCCACCGGAAACGGUGAUUAAUACCGGAUAUGACCCUUGACCGCAUGGUUGUGGGUGGAAAGUUUUUCGGUGGGGGAUGUGCUCGCGGCCUAUCAGCUUGAUGGUGGGGUAAUGGCCUACCAUGGCUUCGACGGGUAGCCGGCCUGAGAGGGUGACCGGCCACACUGGGACUGAGACACGGCCCAGACUCCUACGGGAGGCAGCAGUGGGGAAUAUUGGACAAUGGGCGGAAGCCUGAUCCAGCAACGCCGCGUGAGGGAUGACGGCCUUCGGGUUGUAAACCUCUUUCAGUACCGACGAAGCGAAAGUGACGGUAGGUACAGAAGAAGCACCGGCCAACUACG